Molecule: unclassified non-coding RNA, 285 nt
Filed under: uncultured delta proteobacterium
Lineage: Bacteria; Deltaproteobacteria
Description: contains 16S-23S intergenic spacer region
Rfam family: Bacterial small subunit ribosomal RNA
Source: RNAcentral
UCCGGUUUGUCACAAGCGGUGGAGCAUGUGGUUCAAUUCGACGCAACGCGAAGAACCUUACCUGGACUAGACAACAGUGGAUCGUCCUAGAAAUAGGAUUUUCCCUUCGGGGACCGCUGGUUCAGGUGCUGCAUGGCUGUCGUCAGCUCGUGCCGUGAGGUGUUGGGUUAAGUCCCGCAACGAGCGCAACCCUCGUACUUAGUUGCCACCAUUAAGUUGGGCACUCUAGGUAGACUGCCGGCGUUAAGCCGGAGGAAGGUGGGGAUGACGUCACACGCAAUAACA